Thrips palmi is the source of this 444-nucleotide long non-coding RNA. RefSeq lists it as uncharacterized. The transcript has 4 exons. The record is from RefSeq and is a predicted model, not a curated record. Lineage: Eukaryota; Metazoa; Arthropoda; Insecta; Thysanoptera; Thripidae.
UGAUGACUGCUAUGUGUCUUAAGGAAACUCACUUUGUUCGGCCUCUACUUGGAGUUAGUCAUCAGAAAACUUGCUACAUACCACUGAUGUAUGAGUCUAAAGUUCCUUAUUCUGCAUUGGAAAGUUGGACUUUGGAGGACUCAGCCAACAACAUGCCCAAAUCAAAGAAGAGAGCUCGCAGAUAGGAACUAAUUGCAGUUUAUUCUCUACAAAUCUGCAAAUGGCACAAGUAAAAGAAUAAUAAAAGAUUAGAAAUAAUGACCUUUAUGUUAACAAGGCUUAAUGACUUUGUUUGCUCAUGGACAAUUUGCAAAAAAAAAAUCUAAUUUAUGAAAAGAUUUGACAUUGGAUCCAGUGACAAACCUCUCAAGAGCUCUCAAAAACUCCAUAUAAGCAUAUGGGUACUCAAGGUCAAAAACAAUAUAAGAAGCAAUCAAGAGUGCC